This is a long non-coding RNA of Phyllostomus discolor (pale spear-nosed bat), 165 nucleotides long. RefSeq lists it as uncharacterized. NCBI's taxonomy places the organism in Eukaryota, Metazoa, Chordata, Mammalia, Chiroptera, Phyllostomidae. The transcript has 3 exons. The record is from RefSeq and is a predicted model, not a curated record.
GUGGUGAAAGAUAAAUAUGGUAUGAUCUCACCUUUAACUGAAACCUAAUCAACAAAACAAACAAGCAAGCAAAAUAUAACCAAAGACAUUGAAAUUGCGAACAUGCUGAUAGUAACCAGAUGGGAGAUGGAUGGGGAGAAGGGUUUUCAGGAACUAGUAAUAAGG